Molecule: ribosomal RNA, 468 nt
Filed under: uncultured bacterium
Lineage: Bacteria
Description: partial 16S ribosomal RNA
Rfam family: Bacterial small subunit ribosomal RNA
Source: RNAcentral
GACGAACGCUGGCGGCGUGCUUAACACAUGCAAGUCGAACGGAAAGGCCCUGCUUUUGUGGGGUGCUCGAGUGGCGAACGGGUGAGUAACACGUGAGUAACCUGCCCUUGACUUUGGGUUAACUUCAGGUAACUGGGGCUAAUACCUGAUAGGAGCUCCUGCUGCAGGGUGGGGGUUGGAAAGUUUCGGCGGUUGGGGAUGGACUCGCGGCUUAUCAGCUUGUUGGUGGGGUAGUGGCUUACCAAGGCUUUGACGGGUAGCCGGCCUGAGAGGGUGACCGGCCACAUUGGGAGUGAGAUACGGCCCAGACUCCUACGGGAGGCAGCAGUGGGGAAUAUUGCACAAUGGGCGGAAGCCUGAUGCAGCAACGCCGCGUGCGGGAUGACGGCCUUCGGGUUGUAAACCGCUUUCGCCUGUGACGAAGCGUGAGUGACGGUAAUGGGUAAAGAAGCACCGGCUAACUACGUG